CCUACGGGUGGCUGCAGUGGGGAAUAUUGGACAAUGGGCGAAAGCCUGAUCCAGCCAUGCAGCGUGUGUGAAGAAGGCCUUCGGGUUGUAAAGCACUUUCAGUGGGGAAGAAAGCCUUGGGGCUAAUACCCUCGAGGAAGGACAUCACCCACAGAAGAAGCACCGGCUAACUCCGUGCCAGCAGCCGCGGUAAUACGGAGGGUGCGAGCGUUAAUCGGAAUUACUGGGCGUAAAGCGCGCGUAGGCGGUCUGAUAAGCCGGUUGUGAAAGCCCCGGGCUCAACCUGGGAACGGCAUCCGGAACUGUCAGGCUAGAGUGCAGGAGAGGAAGGUAGAAUUCCCGGUGUAGCGGUGAAAUGCGUAGAGAUCGGGAGGAACACCAGUGGCGAAGGCGGCCUUCUGGACUGACACUGACGCUGAGGUGCGAAAGCGUGGGUAGCAAACAGGAUUAGAUACCCCAGUAGUC
Molecule: ribosomal RNA, 465 nt
Filed under: Vreelandella stevensii
Lineage: Bacteria; Pseudomonadati; Pseudomonadota; Gammaproteobacteria; Oceanospirillales; Halomonadaceae
Description: partial 16S ribosomal RNA
Rfam family: Bacterial small subunit ribosomal RNA
Source: RNAcentral